GACGAACGCUGGCGGCGUGCCUAAUACAUGCAAGUAGAACGCUGAAGGAGGAGCUUGCUUCUCUGGAUGAGUUGCGAACGGGUGAGUAACGCGUAGGUAACCUGCCUGGUAGCGGGGGAUAACUAUUGGAAACGAUAGCUAAUACCGCAUAAUAGUAGAUGUUGCAUGACAUUUGCUUAAAAGGUGCAAUUGCAUCACUACCAGAUGGACCUGCGUUGUAUUAGCUAGUUGGUGAGGUAACGGCUCACCAAGGCAACGAUACAUAGCCGACCUGAGAGGGGGAUCGGCCACACUGGGACUGAGACACGGCCCAGACUCCUUCGGGAGGCAGCAGUAGGGAAUCUUCGGCAAUGGACGGAAGUCUGACCGAGCAACGCCGCGUGAGUGAAGAAGGUUUUCGGAUCGUAAAGCUCGGUUGUAAGAGAAGAACGAGUGUGAGAGUGGAAAGUUCACACUGUGACGGUAUCUGACCAGAAAGGGACGGCUAACUACGUG
Molecule: ribosomal RNA, 495 nt
Filed under: uncultured bacterium
Lineage: Bacteria
Description: partial 16S ribosomal RNA
Rfam family: Bacterial small subunit ribosomal RNA
Source: RNAcentral